Molecule: transfer RNA, 70 nt
Filed under: Paraglypturus tonganus (nomen nudum)
Lineage: Eukaryota; Metazoa; Arthropoda; Malacostraca; Decapoda; Callianassidae
Description: tRNA-Cys
Rfam family: tRNA
About the family: Transfer RNA (tRNA) molecules are approximately 80 nucleotides in length.
Source: RNAcentral
AGGCUUUAUAGUGGAAAUUAAGACAUUAGAUUGCAAAUCUAAAAAUGCAAAAAUAAUUUGCUAAAGCUUA